CCCUCCUGGAGAAUGGGAUUUAGUUUAUCAGGACCCUCCUGGAGAAUGGGAUUUAUUUAUCAGGACCCUCCUGGAAAAUGGGAUUUAGUUAGCAGGACCCUCCUGGAGAAUGGGAUUUAGUUUAUCAGGACCCUCCUGAAAAAUGGGAUUUAGUUUAUCAGGACCCUCCUGGAAAAUGGGAUUUAGUUUAUCAGGACCCUCCUGGAAAAUGGGAUUUAGUUUAUCAGGACCCUCUUGGAAAAUGGGAUUUAGUUUAUCAGGACCCUCCUGGAAAAUGGGAUUUAGUUUAUCAGGACCCUCCUGGAAAAUGGGAUUUAGUUAGCAGGACCCUCCUGGAGAAUGGGAUUUAGUUUAUCAGGACCCUCCUGGAAAAUGGGAUUUAGUUUAUCAGGACCCUCCUGGAAAAUGGGAUUUAUUUAUCAGGACCCUCCUGGAUAAUGGGAUUUAGUUAUCAGGACCCUCCUGGAUAGUGGAAUUUAGUUUAAUCAGGAGAGGUACUUCCUAGUUGGAGCGUUUGAUUUUACUCUCAUAAUUGAAUUAUUUUAUAGUUUAUAAUUUUGCUAACACUAACAAAAUUUCCUGGUGGAAACUGGGACAGAAAUUUUUUGUUCGUGUUCGUUGUUUUUGGUAAUUUGCAGGACCCACCUGAAGAAUGGGAGAAAGUUGCAGGAUCUGCCCAGACAUCAGGAACCCGCCUGGAGAAUAGGGAUAAUUUUCAAUUUCAAGCUCAGGAGCCCGCCUGAAGAAUAGGGUGUACUUUCAGUUGGUUUCAAGUUCAGUCAGAAGUAGCAGGAGCCCCGCCUAGAGAAUAGGGAUGACUUUAAAUUUUAAGUUCAGAAACAAGCAUGAAGAUUCAAGUCAAGAUUCAAGAGAAGCUGCAUAGAUAGAGUCUUGUACUUGUAUUUUCUUUUUAACUUUUUAUUUUUCAUUUUUGAUGUAAUAACAGGAGCCGCGGACCGGAACCUCGACAGGACCUCAAUCGACUCCCCCAACUCAGUAUGUUUCAUCACCCAUCUUACCUCUUGAACUACACGAGACCUGAUUCCCUUAUAACCCGGGAUAUGUAGGAUGCCCAAGACCAGGGCUCGGUCACAUUUUGUUCCAUUCCUUUCUCUUCCCUCAAAUAAAGGUCGGGUCCAAAUUGGUCUCGU
Lycium ferocissimum is the source of this 1151-nucleotide long non-coding RNA. RefSeq lists it as uncharacterized. NCBI's taxonomy places the organism in Eukaryota, Viridiplantae, Streptophyta, Magnoliopsida, Solanales, Solanaceae. The record is from RefSeq and is a predicted model, not a curated record. The transcript is spliced from 3 exons.